UAUAGAAAAGUAAUAGAUAUAUGUCGUAUUAUAAACUUGAAUACAAGUUGGACAGUGGCCAGCUUCGAAUAUUUGAGAUUGACCUAUCUUUUAAAAUAUUUUGCUUUUAACUUUUUUUUAGCUUAAUAUGCUUGCUCAUACUUCUUCACAUAUCAAACGAGCUAUCAAAUUGAGCAGGUAGCACGUAUGACUCUUAUUUUAUGUAUCAACUCUUUCCAUCAAAUUAUCGCCAAGUCUCUCCCUUCUCUCUAGAAGUUUCAUAUUGACUCUCUACCAAAGUUUCAGCUUUUGAGCUUUUC
Molecule: long non-coding RNA, 299 nt
Filed under: Gossypium raimondii (Peruvian cotton)
Lineage: Eukaryota; Viridiplantae; Streptophyta; Magnoliopsida; Malvales; Malvaceae
Description: long non-coding RNA (GRAI_LNC006044)
Source: RNAcentral